CAACUCCCAAACCCCUGUGAACAUACCACUUGUUGCCUCGGCGGAUCAGCCCGCUCCCGGUAAAACGGGACGGCCCGCCAGAGGACCCCUAAACUCUGUUUCUAUAUGUAACUUCUGAGUAAAACCAUAAAUAAAUCAAAACUUUCAACAACGGAUCUCUUGGUUCUGGCAUCGAUGAAGAACGCAGCAAAAUGCGAUAAGUAAUGUGAAUUGCAGAAUUCAGUGAAUCAUCGAAUCUUUGAACGCACAUUGCGCCCGCCAGUAUUCUGGCGGGCAUGCCUGUUCGAGCGUCAUUUCAACCCUCAAGCACAGCUUGGUGUUGGGACUCGCGUUAAUUCGCGUUCCCCAAAUUGAUUGGCGGUCACGUCGAGCUUCCAUAGCGUAGUAGUAAAACCCUCGUUACUGGUAAUCGUCGCGGCCACGCCGUUAAACCCCAACUUCUGAAUGUUGACCUCGGAUCAGGUAGGAAUACCCGCUGAACUUAAGCAUAUCAAA
RNAcentral lists this ribosomal RNA (495 nucleotides) under Fusarium oxysporum. Its description in RNAcentral is "eukaryotic LSU rRNA". The stretch from base 140 to 293 matches the Rfam family "5.8S ribosomal RNA". The record is from RNAcentral. Lineage: Eukaryota; Fungi; Ascomycota; Sordariomycetes; Hypocreales; Nectriaceae.